Molecule: microRNA, 24 nt
Filed under: Gallid alphaherpesvirus 1
Lineage: Duplodnaviria; Heunggongvirae; Peploviricota; Herviviricetes; Herpesvirales; Orthoherpesviridae
Description: iltv-miR-I4
Gene: iltv-miR-I4
Source: miRBase by way of RNAcentral
AUGUAUAGCGAGCAAUGACCGUGU